Molecule: small RNA, 3714 nt
Filed under: Arabidopsis thaliana (thale cress)
Lineage: Eukaryota; Viridiplantae; Streptophyta; Magnoliopsida; Brassicales; Brassicaceae
Description: ATSL169690
Rfam family: MIR854 microRNA precursor family (bases 2892-3103)
Source: RNAcentral
ACCACAGACAAGCGGGCAGGUUGAGAUCUCCAAUAGGAAGAUAAAAACAAUUUUGGAAAAGACUGUUGGGAUUACAAGGAAAGACUGGUCUGCAAAGCUAGAUGAUGCAUUAUGGGCUUACAGGACAGCUUUCAAGACCCCCAUAGGUACAACUCCUUUCAAUCUUCUCUAUGGAAAAUCAUGUCAUCUACCCGUUGAGCUCGAGUACAGAGCAAUGUGGGCGGUAAAACUUCUGAACUUUGACAUAAAAACUGCUGAGGAGAAGCGAUUGAUCCAACUCAGUGACCUCGAUGAGAUCCGUCUAGAAGCUUAUGAAAGUUCUAAAAUCUACAAGGAGAGAACCAAGCUUUUCCAUGACAAGAAGAUCAUCACUAAGGAUUUCCAGGUUGGUGAUCAGAUGCUGCUAUUCAACUCUCGCUUGAAACUCUUUCCAGGAAAACUUAAAUCUAGAUGGUCUGGCCCCUUCUGCAUCACUGAGGUCCGUCCUUAUGGAGCAGUCACUCUAGCUGGUAAGAGUGGAGAUUUUACAGUAAAUGGUCAAAGGCUCAAGAAAUACUUAGCAGACCAAAUCCUUCCAGAGGUGACAUCGGUUCAUCUCCAGGAGCUUCUUGAUGAUUAAAGGAGUAAAGGAGUCAAGCUAAUGACUUUAAACAAGCUCACUUGGGAGGAAGUCCCAUGACUAUCCUUGUAAAUAAUUUUUACUUUCUUGUUAUUUUUGAUUUGUUUUAGUUGUGUUUGUGGUUUUCAGAGACAAGAGAACAACGCGGAGAUAGAGUAAAAAUUCAAAACUGUUACUCUACAGAAGACCUGGAGAUCGAGUGUACAGCCCGUUUGGAGUAGAAAAUUUUGAAAAUCUUUUGUUGCACCUGGAGACCUUGCACUCGAGUACAUUGGUCGAGUAUCUGUGAUGUUUAAAACCCAAAAACUUUUAAAUCAUCAUUUUACUCGACCAACAGAAGCUACAGAGACUUGCAGAAAUUUCCUACAGUUUACAGUAGGUUUUCUGCAAAAAAUUUCUAAGUCAACAGAGUGUGGACCACGCGCUGAGGAUAAGCUGGAGAGAGAAUCUAAAACUCAACCUAGACCACUCAUUUUGAAGCGUCACUCGACUUCUCCAAAUCCACUCGACCUCCCUCUUUUUUAAUUUCACCGCCGACACUCUAAUCUCUCUACACCACAAAUCGCCAUCCAAAGAGCUACUCGAUCCUGCGAAUUUCACUCGACCCCCGCGCCGCCGUCACCAGCUCAUCCCCUCCGUCACCCGACCAAACCACUUCACUCGACCUCGAGAAAGCACUCGACCCCUGCAAAAAUCUACUCGGCUUCUUGUUCGUGAAUUCAGCAGAGCCUUCUAACUUCAGAGAAGUUACUCGACCUCUAGGUUUCACGAUUCACUCCACCUCCACGAUUCACUCGACCUGCUGUAGCAUUCCAACUCGACCUCUGAGAAGAUACUCGAUCCAAUUCGUCUAAGCUCAGGAACAGCUCAGGUUACUCGAGUACAGAAUUGUACUCGACCAAUUCAAUCUAUUUCAUUGCCUAUUGACAAUAAUUUUGGUUUCAUUGCUAUCUUUGAGACUAACCUAUUGACAUUUGAGUUUUGAGUUCUAAAUCUCUACAGGAGAAUCAUGAGCAAUUACAGUGGCAGUUCUUCUGUUGAUCCUGACUACAACAUGGAUGAGACAGAGUCGUCAUCUUCAAGGCCAGAGAGAGAACAGAGAGAAUAUGAAAGCUUCAGAAGGAAAGCUGAGAUAGCCCGAGGAAAGAGAGCGAUGACAGAGAGGUACGAGCUUAUAGACGAAGAUCUGGAAGACGAAUACAUGCCUGAACAGACUCGCAGAGCUACCAAACUUCUGCACAAGCCCGACGUAUUGCCUACUGAGGAAUAUGUUAGGCUUUUCAAGCUGAAUGAGUUCUGUAGCACGAGGUAUCCUUGCUCGACCUCACUUGCACAACUCGGAUUGUUGGAAGAUGUUCAGCACCUGUACCAAAGUUGUCAUCUGGACACUCUGAUGGCUUAUCCGUAUGUAGCGUAUGAAGAUGAGACAAUACAAUUCCUCUCCACGCUGCAAGUAGAGCUCUACCAAGGUAUGACCUCUGAUGAGUUGGAUUGUGAAGGAUUGGGAUUCUUGCGAUUUUCUGUGUAUGGUCAUGAGUAUAGGUUAUCAAUCAAGCGAUUGGAAUGAUUAUUUGGCUUCCCUAGUGGAACGAGAUCUAAGCCAAAGUAUGAAAGAGAAGAGUUGAAAGACUUGUGGAUCACCAUUGGCAGCUCUGUACCGUUGAAUGCUUCCAGGUCAAAGAGCAAUCAGAUACGCAGCCCUGUCAUCAGGUACUUCCAGCGUUCUAUAGCCAAUGUACUCUACUCCGAGAGAUUACAGGGACUGUCACUAACUCUGAUAUGGAGAUGAUCGCAAUGGCCCUCAAGGAAACUCUUCGCCAAACUAAGAAUGGCAUGUCCCUCCAAGGUGAAGUCAAUGACACACCUCUCUCUAUACUUCUUCUGAUCCAUCUGUAUGGAUACAAGAGCUGGGCUGUCAGCAAUAACCGCAAGAGAGCACGAGGCGCUCUGUGCAUAGGUGGCAUUGUGACACCGAUUCUGAUAGCUUGUGGAGUCCCAAUCAUUUCUGCUGGACUCGAGCCGCGAGCAAUGGAUAUCGAGCACCUACGUCACUGCGAAUUCCUGGAGUUUGCAAUGGUUGACGACUUCCACAGGUUCAGGUUUGAGCACUCUAUAGAGAGGAGAGCUAGCAUCCUUCUCCCUAGCCCUGAGGUUACACAGAUAAUAGAGGGAGAUAACAUUGAUUUUAGGCCUGAGGUUGGACGCCUCUACUAUGAGAACGCUCCGCCAUUGGAUGAGGAUGAUCUUCUUGAAGAAGCUGCUUCGGAUGGGAUGGAUGAAGAUAGGGCGGUGGAGUUCGACACUAGCAUGUAUCACUUUGGUGAACAUGUACCUCCAGCGAGGCAGAGCAAGAGCUUGACUGAAGCUCAUAAGAAUAACAGUAAAUUGCAGAAGUGGUGCAAGAAGCAGGACAAGCUGAUCGCCAAGUGUUUCAAGCUUCUGACAGAUAAGCUAAGUUGCUCUUCCUCCACCACUGCUAUUCCACAGGUACAUCCUCCUCUGGAGAUGCCAUCGAGGAGAAUUGAUGCACCUGCGCACAGGCCUGAGCUUAGCGAGCAGAGAGUCCCACAUGUCCAGGCUAGGCAUUCGUCAUUCGAAUCCCGGGAACACAAGAGAAAAAGGAAGACAACACUCACUCGAUCUAGCAGCAGAUCACGCCUCAUUCACUCGAGGAGAUCACUCGACCGCGGUGCUGGCCGCAGCAGAAGGAGAGAGGUCAAGUUUCCUCAGAGCGGUGCUGGCGCCACAGAGCUGAUGAGGUCGAGUACCCACCUGCUGGAGGUGAUACAGAACAAGGUGGUUCGUCUAUAGCUUGCGAGCAAUCGCAGGCAGCCAUUGACGAGCAACUACGUUCAUUCUUCGACUGAGGUAAGCGCCUCACUUCACCAUUGUAUUAUACCAUCUGUUAUGAUUUGUUUCUUCAUUUUUUGUUUCUGUGAUUGGAUUUGUCCUGAGUACUCUCUUCCAAGUUUAUUCGCACAGUGGACUGUGUGAUUUAUGUUUGGGGGAGGGCUUCGGAAGUGUGUGUUGCAUUGUGUAUAUUUUUGAGUCUGCAUUCAUCUAAGGCAUAGAAAAACCAAAAAAAAUUUGAAAAA